Molecule: long non-coding RNA, 6278 nt
Organism: Cavia porcellus (domestic guinea pig)
Lineage: Eukaryota; Metazoa; Chordata; Mammalia; Rodentia; Caviidae
Exons: 5
Source: RefSeq, a predicted model, not a curated record
CGUGAAGGGCAGGAGAGCGCGACCGUCAUCGUGGUGGCGCGCGUUGACCCGGAGUCGCCCUGCCGCGUCCGCCCAGUCGCGCAGGUCCCGCUCCGCGGCAGGGGAGCUGCCGUAGACCGUGGACGCGUCCAGGAAGGAGGUACCUGCCACACCCACACUGAAAUAAGAGCAUCGCGCCUGUCCCGUGGAGCCGGUGUGGUGACAGCCGGGUGGGAGCACUGCGGAGCUUUGCGGCAGAAGCAUUUGGAUUGGAAAAGUCGGGGACCUAGACGUUUACAAUUUCCUGGCUGUGUCUGAUACAGCCUUUCACUUCUGUACCUGGAUUUUCCACACGGGAGGGAGAGACACGAUAUGCUACAGAGACCACAGGCAACAUGGGCAACCAAGGGUUGGCGUGGCCUCCCAGGCCAAGUACUGCAGCAUCCUUUCGCUGCAAAUCUCACAACUGCGCGGAGAGGGGGUGGAGGGGUGGGGGGGGUGGUCAGCAGACAAGAGGCAUCCAUUGCUCUCAAGGUGCAGCUGUAACUGUGAAGCUUUCCAAAACGAGGGACAGUGAGCGGAGACGCCUGAAGGAUUCAUAGGCACUGACUGCCUGCAAGAAAAAUGCUAUUUACAGGACAGCAGCACACUGGCCAGUAGUCCAGGCUUGAGGCUAUGAUUGGUUCACAUACACAUCUGCUGAUUGGCCCAUAUUUAUAUCUGCUAAUUGGUCCAAGUUGAAACUUAUUGAUUGGUCCAAACUCAAGCUCCUGAUUGGCCCAAAUUCAAGGCUGCUGAUUGAUCCAAACUCAGUGUAAUAUAAUGCCCUGCUAGAGGAGUAGAGACCAUAGGACUUGUGUUAAGGCAAAGUGGCAUGGAAUUUAUUGUGCCUGGAUGAAGGCAGACAAAAGGAGAAAAGAUCAUCUAUGGGAAACAAAGGGAAAUGUCUCCCUUUUCUAGGGAUUGAAAAAAAGCAAGGGCCUUUAGAUGGGAAGAUUUUAGUAAACAUCUGUGUUCAAAUAUCUCACUGGUGGUGUUGCACCUCAGUGGACAAAGUCCUUGAAGUGGCUGGUGUAACUUUUCGGGUGGCUCCAGAUUUCCCCACACCUGGAAGUUUCCUUGUCCUAUCUUACCCUAUGUAUACGGAUGGCAGCCUCCAUACUGAGCCGAGCUCCUUGCUGCACGCAGCAUCUCGCUGGCAGAAGGUUAGAGGCUGGUAGAGUCAGGUCCUACUCCUGCCUUACACUCAGGUCUCCUGAUUGGUCAAAAUUCAAGCCUGCUGAUUCAAGCCUAUUGAUUGGUCCAAACUCACUUCGGUUGCUUCCCUUAAAUUCCAGUCAGCCACAGGCAAGGCCCACAGCUGCUAGAGUGGCAUUUGGGCAGCUGCUGCUGUCAGGGAGACAGCUCAGGAGGACAGAAGGUAGAGGGCCACUCGACAUCUGCCCCAUCUCUAUGGAAAUUGCAGAGCUAAGAUCAGGACUGUUGUCAUUUGUGGCAUCCUGCUUUGAGAGCUGACUAUGAAUCACAGCUAACUGGGGCUUGGGGACCUGAGGGAUAGUCACUGUGGGCCCUGAACUCCUUCCUGGUCUUUGUGCCAUUCGGGGUGUCUUCCCUAGGCUUCUUCAGAACCUAGGAUACAGGGGGCGUCAGCAGGAGUGUGGCAGGGAGGACGUGGGCUCCACAGAGAUGACAGAGCGAGCAGUGAAACACAGGGACUGCUGUCCCUGUCCACACCCCACCUGCUGGGUUCAUUCAGGAGCGCUGCCACCUCAUACAAGGCCUUGCUGUGGGAACGCUGCCCCUUGGGGCUCCGGGGACACCCGCAGUUUCAUUCAGCAGAGCCCUGCUACCCUCCUCCGGGGUAUUAAGGAUAAACACUGAGCUGCCUGAUGUUUAAUAUCUAGAGUAAAAUUUUUAAAAAUCAAAGCAUAGUUGAACAGACAAACAUGUCAGUUUUAUGACUCAAUUCGUGUGGAAGGGGAAAGUAAGAAGAAAAGAGGCUGCACGGAGCCCCGAAAAGGUGAAGACGAGGGCAGGGCGCAGACUAGGACGGGCAUAAUGCUCUUUGGAAGAUUUCAGCAUGUAUAUUUCUAUCCCACCUGCUAUCCAAGAAACCACCUCCGACAGUGAGGCUGCAGCUUUUCCUAAGAUGGCUUGGAAACGUCCCAUCUCCUCGGGGUCACCUGCUGGGGUGACCUCCGGCUCAGGGCUUCCGCCAGAUCCUGGCUUCUCUGGGAGCCCAGAAGCGGCCUUUGCUAUAGCAACGGAGCAUCGCCGCCAUCCGAUCCUCUUCCUCCCACCAAGGCAGCUAAGGCAUUCAGAAUAGACCAGAGCCACUUUCGCUCCUCGCUGCAGCUCCCUUGCAAGCCACGCGGGGCGCUGUCACAGAGCCACGGCUGCUCCACGCAUGGCUGCUCAAUAUGCCCUCAGGUGCUGCCCAGGUGACCUCGGAACCCCUCUGCAAGACUCAGGGUGGGGGCAGGGCAUGGUAAUAGAGAUAGGGGACCUUUACAGUGAACUGUGUCCCCAGCCCUUUUUAACUUUUUUUUUUUUUUUUUUUUUGGUCUUUUUAGGACAGGGUCACUAUUGCUAUGCAAUCCAGGCUGGCCUUGGGCUCCCUUUGUAUCCCAGGCUGAUCUUGAACUUGCAAUGAUCCUCCUGCCACAGCCUCCAGAGUGCUGUGGGAUUACAGGAUUACAGGAGUGCACCACUAUGCCUGGUUCCUUUAUAAAUUUUUGAGAUAGGAGCUUGGUAAAUUGCCAAAUUCCCAACCCUGGGCUUGAAUUUGGAAUUCACCUGCCUCUGUGUUCCAGAGUGCUGGGAUUACAAGCACAAGCACGCACCACCACAUCCAGCUGUGAUUUGCUACUGAAGUUCAUCAGAAGCCUCUGUGCCCCCACCCGCGCCUCUCCUUCACCCCGAAUUUGGGCAAUGGUCCCCAUCUUUUUUUUAGAUAGUGUACUAGAGUACAUGCCAUCUUCCCUAGGCCCAGAUCGGGGGGAUUGCCAUGGUGGGGUGGCAGGCAACCCUCCUUGGUGGUCCAGGCUCCAGGUUGCAGGAGAGGAGCCUCUGCAAACCAUACCUGUUGUUGCAGGCGCCCGUGAUGAGUCUGUACUUGUUCGCCAGGCAAGUGUUGGGACAUUUUGGUGGCAGCAUGUAAGGUAGGCAGCCAGACAGAUUUGCAAUCAUGUUCAGCAGAUCUUCUGAUAAAAUGUCUAAGAACAAAGAACAAUGCUUCAGCGCUCUGCUCGAAAUGGCGACAGUGAACCCUGCAGACACCCAGCUUCCCACUGCUGUCCCAGAAGCAGCCUUGCCACAGAGCUGGGGAUCCCGAGGAAUCUGAGUCAGUCUUUGGAGAAAAUCUGCAUUCCAUUUUGAAAUCUAGCACUCCCUCGUUUAAUUCUCUUGAGCUUCUUUCUUGUUAGGGAUGUAAAAUGUUGUUUUGUCUUUUAUUUUGUGAUGUUUCAGAUACUGGUCUGGGGUCCCCGAGCCCCAGUUGCAGGGUCACCUGCACCCUGUCCUGUCCAGCGGUACCCAGCUAUCAGAGGACAGUGCACACGUGGCCUUCACCCCCCCCCAUUAAAACUAAAUCUAGACUUGGUCAGGUUUGCUAAUAAUUUACAGCUGUUCCUCUAUAAACCCCAGAUAUUUUCCUUUUAUUGAUCUUGGAGUCUUUCUCUCCCUAAAUUAGAGCCCAAGAAAGCAGUCUCUUUCAUUUUUAUUUUUUUGCCAAUUCUGUCACUAUUUAUGUCAUUCAACAAAUCAAAGUAAGGGCUGUUUUGUUGUCCGUGAGUAGAAGCAAUCACUGCUUCUCUUCUCAAGAUGGUUUAAAUAAAUCUUUGGGAAUAAUACCAUAAAACACUGAUUAAUCAUUAAUCAGAUGCCAAUGAAAUUGAGGCAUUCACUAAGAAAAAGCCAAGAAGGAAUGCAUUCUGCUUUCAAACAGAAGAGAAUCAAGCAAGCUCUUCAUAAGAAAGGCAACUAAGGUAUAUUAAUGAGAACGAUUAAACGAGACUCCAAACCAUUUGCAUUCAGUUCGGGGGGUGGAGUGGAGGUGGCUAUGCCUGUCUCACAGCUGUAGCCCAGUGAAACAAAUUCUCUAAAGCAGACAGGGGAUCGAACCCACAUAAACAACAAAACCCACCUCGGCAGAGCCAGGAGGCAGCAGUUAUUACUGUGAUUGAAGUGAUUGAAAGGAACCUCUGGGGUCCUUUUACCUUUUUACAUUACAAAUGUUCUAGGUUGACUGUGCUUUCAAGAGAAUAAUUUUCAAACAUGCUAUAGGAUGGGGCUCUUGAAUUCUGCAUCAUGGCCUGGACCAGACACAUCAGCCUAUUUCCCCUAAAUGUCUAUACCCUGACUUGGGAAAAUGGCCUGGAGAUGCUAAAGUCCAAGCCAGGAGACCCAAGUCUCAGGCAUUAGAGCAUACCAUACCCUUUGUCAUUUUUUUCCCUCUCGUGGCCCUAGCCAAUCCCACAACAAGACAGGACACCGAUGUCCUUACCAAGAUUUUCCAACCAUGAUUUGAAAUGAGACUAGUUUCAGGUUGAGUUUGGUAGUAUGUUUUGUUUUGUUUUGUUUUGUUUUGUCUUUUUCCUUUUCAUCGGUACCGGGGAUCGAAUUCACGACUGCCUGCUUACAAGGCAGGCGCUUAUGCCGCUGAGCUAAAUUCCCAGCCCCAUGAGUUUGGUAGUAUGUUUAUCAUCCAGCACUCUUGGAGGCUGAAGCAGGAAGAUUGAAAGUGUGAGCCCAGCCUGGGCAACUUAGCAAGACCUUGUCUCAAAAUAGAAAAUAAAAAAUAAAACAAGGGCAGGGGCUGUAGCUCAGUGCAAAUGCCCUGGGUUGGGUCCCCAGCGCCACCCCCCCACACACACAUCCUAUUCCUAUAUAAUCAUUUAAACUUCACUGUUGAAUUUAGAGCUGAGAAUUCUGGCUGACCCUGGUACAGUCGAAUAGUUUGUUCAUGACUCAGACCUAGAUGAAGAAAUCCUACAUCUUGCACCCACCCUGUGAGGGUACAAAUAUGUCUCUGAGGGCAUCUGUUGUCUUCCGGUUUCUCUGCACUGAAUCUGCAGACCCUGACCUAGGAAACCCACUCCUCCUCAUGGGGCCUGAAGCAGCCAUCCACUCAGGUGGCCAGGACCCCAUCUUUCUUUGUUGGCUGGCAACAGCCUUGGAUCACCAAAUCUGCCCCCACCUCCCCACCCCACCCCCAGUACCCCACCACCACCAUCACCUGGGAAGGUGGGGCUGGGCUCGGUGGUGCCCUUUCCUGGCUAGAAUGCUCCCUCCAGGGAAACAUGUUUCCUUUCAACGUCAUACCCCAAGCCCACGAGCUCCUAGUGGGUGGGGAGCUGACGGGAAGAUGCCCCAGUCAUUUCACACAAGAGAACACAUCUGCUUCUCCCUGUCUACCCAGACAGCAGAGAAUAAGAAUUUGCCAGAGCAGCGGGAACCAGAAACUGGCACUGUUCUCAAGUAUCUUGAAGAAGAGUUGCUUGUGUCCUAACCCAUCCUGCUUGUUUUGGCCUAGAAACACCCCCAAAUGCCAACGGCCCCCUCCCAGAUCAAGUGCACCCUCCCUGAGCUUCGGGGUACUGUGCUCACCCAGAGGAAGCUGCUGCCCCGUCAGCCCCAGCGCCUGCAUGGAGGCUUCCGUGAUUUCUGCAGCCCGGGAAAUUGCUCUGCUCGAUGGUUCAGGGAACUUGGAAAAAGCCAGCAGCUGAGAUGAAGUGACAUCCCUCUUUCUGAGGUUCCUAGGCGUACGAAGAAGAUAGAAAGGAAUACACACACCGACGUGGCCACCUGGCUCUUAGUUAUCAGUUAACUGGGCAUCGGGAAAGUAACUUCAUCCCCAAGAGCCAGGCUCUCCGAUGGGGCUGCAAGCAGCUGAGGAGCCAGGUUACCUCUGCAGGGAGGCGUAGAUGGCCUCGUCCACCGAGCGUACAGCAGCCUCCAGCAUGCUACGAACCUGAGAGUCUCUGGUAUCUCCUGCAGAAUGGAGCAGCGUGCAGUAAGAGGCCUUAGUCGUGCCUGUAGCUCUGUCAUCUCCCUCCAGUCCAGCAAGGGUAGGGGCAACUCUGGGGACCAGGGGGCCCCUGCACCCCGUGGACAUGGUCCCUAAGAUGAAGCGAGCCUGGAACAGGCAGGGAUGUGUCUUCACUGUUUCUCAGUUGCUUGAACUGCUUCUUGUGACCCUGAAUAGCAUUCUGAAUAUUCCCGUUCAUACCCGCGUCUGCCUGUUUGUUUGUGCCCUUCAUGGAAGAUGAACUCUUUGAAUACACCUGCAGUGUCUGAGA